AGCGAACGCUGGCGGCAGGCUUAACACAUGCAAGUCGAGCGGGCAUCCUUGUGGUGUCAGCGGCAGACGGGUGAGUAACGCGUGGGAACGUGCCCUUCGGUUCGGAAUAACUCAGGGAAACUUGAGCUAAUACCGGAUACGUGCGAGAGCAGAAAGGUUUAUCUGCCGAAGGAUCGGCCCGCGUCUGAUUAGCUAGUUGGUGAGGUUAUGGCUCACCAAGGCGACGAUCAGUAGCUGGUCUGAGAGGAUGAUCAGCCACACUGGGACUGAGACACGGCCCAGACUCCUACGGGAGGCAGCAGUGGGGAAUAUUGGACAAUGGGGGCAACCCUGAUCCACCCAUGCCGCGUGAGUGAUGACGGCCUUAGGGUUGUAAAGCUCUUUUCUCCGGGACGAUAAUGACGGUACCGGAGGAAUAAGCCCCGGCUAACUUCGUG
Molecule: ribosomal RNA, 437 nt
Filed under: uncultured bacterium
Lineage: Bacteria
Description: partial 16S ribosomal RNA
Rfam family: Bacterial small subunit ribosomal RNA
Source: RNAcentral